CUGCGGCUGCGGCCGCGCCGGGGGAACGUGAGGGAAAACACCCGGCUCCGGCGGUGCUGAACCCCGGAUCGCCUGAAACGCGUGUGCGAUCCGCGCGGAAACCGCCACUUCCCCCCAGAUCGCAUCCUCCCGUCGUGAAAUUUGGGCUCAGCCCCCCCCCCUCCCCCCCACGCGGGGUUUGGGGCUGUAAAGUUCCCGUUAGAAAUCGUGUCUUUAUGGUAGGAAGGCGGCUGUCGCUGGCCGCGAACCUGCCCCCGUGACUGACACGCUGGUACUGAUUUGGGUUUGAUCGAAUUGACUUUACACUGAUUUUAUUUGGCGUGCUGCAAAUGGCAUUGAGGCCGUGGUGCAGUCCGUGGCGAAGGCCACUCGGAACGCUUGAAAUGGGCAAGUUUGGAAAAUAAUGUCGUUGCUAUACCUUUUUAAUACUUUUAAUUCCCCCCUUCCACUCCUUUUUCUGCAGUCUUAAGCAUGGGAACUUUUACUUUCAAAAAACAUACGUAUCCUUUCUCUGGGUUCCUCUUUCAGUGGACGCCAAAUCCGGAGCAGCACGAGGUGAAGCGAGAGGGGUUGUUCUCAGUGCAGUUCCAGUCCCUUAGCACUGCAAAGGUGCUCUCCAGUUCUUCCUCGCUGGGAACACCAGUCAAAAGGAACCAGAGGAGUACGUUCCAAAGCAAUGGAAGUUGCCGUGUGUGUUGUGAGUAUUUCUGUUGCAGCACUAUGCCACUUCACAGCAAGAAGAUYAAACAGUUUUCGCCGAAGUGAUGGGAAUGAGGAUGUGGGUGUGCAAGGCGAGCAGUGUAGCAAUGCUAUGAAUGGUACAGCAGAGUACAGGCUGUUCACCGCUUUACCCAGGGAUUCUGGAGGAACUACGUGUAAGAAGACAGAAGAAAAAAGCGCUGGCUCUCUCUGGCGAUUUUCGGGUGYGAAUGACUGCGACGCGCAGAGCCGUUCCUGCCCCAGCAGCGAUGGGCUGUUUGCAGAGGGCCGUCCUGCUCUCUCCUGCACGCGCUCUUCAGACGGCAAUUCGUGGCCUUUCCGGGAAAAGGAUUUGCAGAGAUCAGAGGCCACAGCGCUGGCUUAAGCAUCUUCAAAGUCUAAAAGCACAACGCGUAAAGGCCCGGUUGGUGAUGCCCUUUGAAACGGUCAUCGAAAGCGUUCUGAGAAGAAUCACAACACCAGUAAGUGUCAUAUUUAUUAACAAGUAAAUGUUUACUUAGGAAGGUAGUGCUCAUAAGGAAUUCCCGUUGUCGUCCUUUAAAUCCUCCUGUCCCGUGCUGAGCCCCAGGUCCUCGUACGACGUUUUGGGUCCCCCUGCCCACGCAACGGGCAUUGCCUCCCAGGC
This 1345-nucleotide long non-coding RNA is filed under the name Dromaius novaehollandiae (emu). RNAcentral describes it as "lncRNA (ENSDNVG00000004319.1)". Lineage: Eukaryota; Metazoa; Chordata; Aves; Casuariiformes; Dromaiidae. The record is from RNAcentral.